This 433-nucleotide ribosomal RNA is filed under the name uncultured bacterium. Its description in RNAcentral is "partial 16S ribosomal RNA". It matches the Rfam family "Bacterial small subunit ribosomal RNA", at positions 29 to 507 of the family's 1533-position model. The record is from RNAcentral.
AACGAACGCUGGCGGCAGGCCUAACACAUGCCAGUCGAGCGCGCCCUUCGGGGUGAGCGGCGGACGGGUGAGUAACGCGUGGGAACGUGCCCUUCUCUGCGGAAUAGCCUCGGGAAACUGAGAGUAAUACCGCAUACGCCCUUUGGGGGAAAGAUUUAUCGGAGAAGGAUCGGCCCGCGUUGGAUUAGGUAGUUGGUGGGGUAAUGGCCCACCAAGCCGACGAUCCAUAGCUGGUUUGAGAGGAUGAUCAGCCACACUGGGACUGAGACACGGCCCAGCCUCCUACGGGAGGCAGCAGUGGGGAAUCUUAGACAAUGGGGGCAACCCUGAUCGAGCCAUGCCGCGUGAGUGAUGAAGGCCUUGGGGUUGUAAAGCUCUUUCAGCUGGGAAGAUAAUGACGGUACCAGCAGAAGAAGCCCCGGCUAACUCCGUG